RNAcentral lists this ribosomal RNA (863 nucleotides) under uncultured marine group I thaumarchaeote. RNAcentral describes it as "SSU rRNA". It matches the Rfam family "Archaeal small subunit ribosomal RNA", at positions 13 to 881 of the family's 1478-position model. The record is from RNAcentral. Lineage: Archaea; Thermoproteati; Nitrososphaerota.
CCCGCCGGACCUGACUGCUAUCGGAUUGAUACUAAGCCAUGCGAGUCUUUGCAGUAAUGCAAGGCAUACGGCUCAGUAACACGUAGUCAACCUACCCUAUGGACGAGAAUAAUCUCGGGAAACUGAGCAUAAUUCUUGAUAGAUCAUAAUGCCUGGAAUGGUUUAUGGUUAAAAUGAUUCGUCGCCAUAGGAUGGGACUGCGGCCUAUCAGCUUGUUGGUGAGGUAAUGGCCCACCAAGGCGACUACAGGUACGGGCUCUGAGAGGAGAAGCCCGGAGAUGGGUACUGAGACACGGACCCAGGCCCUAUGGGGCGCAGCAGGCGAGAAAACUUUGCAAUGUGCGAAAGCACGACAAGGUUAAUCCGAGUGAUUUCUGCUAAAGAAAUCUUUUGCCAGUCAUAAAACCACUGGUGAAUAAGGGGUGGGCAAGUUCUGGUGUCAGCCGCCGCGGUAAAACCAGCACCUCAAGUGGUCAGGAUGAUUAUUGGGCCUAAAGCAUCCGUAGCCGGCUUUGUAAGUUUUCGGUUAAAUCCAUGUGCUCAACGCAUGGGCUGCCGAAAAUACUGCAUGGCUAGGGAGUGGGAGAGGUAGACGGUACUCAGUAGGAAGGGGUAAAAUCCUUUGAUCUAUUGAUGACCACCUGUGGCGAAGGCGGUCUACCAGAACACGUUCGACGGUGAGGGAUGAAAGCUGGGGGAGCAAACCGGAUUAGAUACCCGGGUAGUCCCAGCUGUAAACGAUGCAGACUCGAUGAUGCAUUGGCAUAAUAGCCAGUGCAGUGUCGCAGGGAAGCCGUUAAGUCUGCCGCCUGGGAAGUACGUACGCAAGUAUGAAACUUAAAGGAAUUGGCGGGGGAGCACCA